UGGAGGCGCGCGAGCGCGAGGAGCUCGGCCUCGCGGUUGUGGCGCUCGACCUCGCGCUCCAUGGAGGAGAGCACCUCCUCGGCCUGGCGCGCGACCCAGCGGCUGAGGAGGCGCGACUCCCGCCUCUGCCUGCGCACCGCCGACGACUCGACCUCGCCGUAUUCACGCAGAGGACGCCCUGGAUGGUGGAUCCGAUGCAUUCCAUGGCCUGCCCUAUGGCGUCAAGGCGACAUGUUGCGCCGAGGUGGAGGCCGGGUUGAACGCCGUGUACCGGCGGUGCCGGAGCCUUGACCACUCCAUGGGACCGCUAGAGAUCCGCAUAGUGUCCCUCGACGCCGCGAUUACAACAUCACCAUGUCUGGCGCCUGCGCGCAAGAGGAGUUGUCCCUGUGGCAUCAUCUUUGGCUCCGCCACUCUGGUGCACUCUAUGGCACUAGAGGCGAGGAGCUCGCAGUUCGCCACGCCUGGCCAACCUUCUCACUGUGCCCCCCUCUCAUUGGUUUUUUCUCCCACCAGGCCACCACAACCUAGAUCCCAGUCCUCGGACAUGUUGUGGGGGUUGCUUUUUCGAUUUCUUUGCAAGAGCUUGGUGGUGUCUAUGAUGUUAGUUGGAUAUAGUUAGCAGAAGUGCAUAAUCAUAGCCUUCAGAUUUUAUAAAUUAUUCCUUAAUUUGCUGAAAGAAAGAUGAUGAUAAGCCUUUGUUAUAUAGACCAGAAUUGGUCAGUCCUUUGUUGAUAGUAGUUCGUCUAUUGAUUCAGGUGUAUUUUUCGUAUUUGUAUAUAUUAUGUUAGAUUGUAUCUCGCAGGUUAGAGAGAUGCCGAGGGGCUGUACCUCGCCAGCGAUUUGGACAAGCGGCUAUUGAUCUACUUCCCCUUCAUGCAAGUGGUCAAGCUACAUUUCGUGCUAUUCAAAGGCCCCAAGGAUGACGCAAUGGCAAUGACUAUCUACCAAUGGACAUCGUGGAGCUAUCUUCCGAUCAUUUGAUAGAGAAUAAGCCUUUGCUGCUAAAGGAUGUCAAGUUCCAAAACGUACACGGGUAUAUACAUUUCACAAUAUAUAUGUUUUUGUUACCCCAUUUAUGUUUCUUACCACAAUUUUUAUUUAAUGGUCUUUUGUUAUUAUUUCAUCCUGACUAUAAUCAUUGUGGACAAUCAAAGUUUCUUGUACCCUAUAUGUAUAGGGAAGUUCAGUGAAUUUUGAUACAGAUUCUUCAGUCUUGUUAUAGGCUUACCAGUGCUUAUUGACCUUUGUUUGUUCGGGACACUUCUUUUUAAGCUUGUUGUAGCUGAUGUCAUGUGCAUGUCACCCUAAACUUGCAACUUCUACAACAUUAUAGGAAAUGGCAAGAGCUUUUUGAUGUGCCCAUGAAAACCCAAAGUAUGUUAUGCUAAAGAAGACCAGAUUUUCGUUCAGACAUUCGCUGAGAUAUGUGGUGGCAAAUAAAAGUGUAUGAUGUCUGUGAUGUGAUGCGCCACGGAAAAAAGGCAGAAUAUAUGAUACUGUUAUUGUCUUAACUGUCUAAUCACCUUCCUAUUUUAGUAGUCAUGAUUUGGUACUUGGCUUACUAUUUUUUUUUGUUAUGCAGUGGAUGUGGCAAUACUAUUACUGUCAACAUGUUGCCAUUUUUGUCAUAUGGUCCAUGUGUGUCUCCUUUCGAAAAUUAGGACCCCAGUGCUCAUUAAUCAUAGCAACUUCUGUUUCUGAAUUUGUGUGAAAUUUGUUGGAUACUUAUAUUUAUUCUUUGCCAUUUUUGUAUGUGAUGUCUUUUUGUUCAAGCAGUUUUUUGUGCUUUAUAAUUUCAAAGUGUGCAAGAGUGUCCAGAAUGUCUUCACAUGGCCUCACUUUAUGAGAUACUACUGCUUUUAUGCAAUAUACUUUUGUUGUGUUGUGUGCCUGAUAAGUUGCACCAUAACAUUUCUUUAAGGACAAUGGUUCUGAUGAGGUUGUAUUCAAGGCCAUGGGGAGGGCUAUCAAUAAGACUAUCAUGGUUGUGGAAUUGAUCAAGAGGAGGAUUGUUGGCCUCCAUCAGAAUACCACCACUGGAUCUACUGAUAUUACUGAUAUGUGGGAGCCAUUGGAAGAAGGCCUACUUCUGCUUGAGACAACAAGACAUGUCUCUAUGAUCACUAUAACUCUUUCAAAGAAGGAGCUGGACACAUCAUCUAUCGGGUAUGCAUACUGCACUCUUUUGUUAACUGCAUUUAAUGACUUUCUUUGCCAGUUUGUCUUAACCAAAUUCUAUGGUUUUCUAUGCCAUGAACUCACAUCUCGCUGCGUCAAGUAAUCUAAUAAGAAACCAGUACUCCCUCUGUUUCUUUUUAUAAGGUAUAUAGUAAGAUUUGAGAAAUCUUUAGAAAUGUUCUUUGAUCAUCAAUGGCGCUUACAGUAUAUCAUCAAUUGCUUCAAAAUCAAUUUGCAUUAAAUUACAUGUGGAAUGUUGUUCUAUUGAUACAACUUUUAUACAUGCAUGUGUAUCAUUUGAGUAAUUGUUGGUCAAAAUCUAAGAAAUUUGUCUUGUUUGAAUCCUGAUAUGUCUAUAUUUCGAGAUGGAUUUCUUAGCUUGAUUUGAAUUCCUUGAUCCCUUCAUAUCUGACCAUUUUGGAACAUUUAGGUAUUGUGUUGCUGCCCUCUUCAUUCAUUCUUUGUCCUUGUAGUUGAAUUCUUUUCAAUCCAAUAGUCUGCUAGAUUUACAUAACGACAUGUUGUUCACUUUACCUAUAUAGUUUUUUAUUUCAUACAUGCAAGGUACUAAACAGCAGACUGUCAUUGUUAUACUUGCAGCUCCUAUAAUUAUGCUUGCUAUUACUAAUACCUUUCCUUGCUAUUUUGCAACAAGUCCACAACAGUUGCUCGUGUGUAUUUCCUCUGUCUCGGGUAAGCAGCAUAGCAGUAGAGUAGGUGUUCACUAGCAGUACAAAGUCCUCCAAGGUUUGGUUAGUGUCUAUUUUGAUCAUAUUGUAAUGUUUGUGAGGCGUGUGAAUUUUUUUUGUUACAUUAGCAACACAAGUAUGUGAUGUUGAACAAAAAAACUUAGACGAAUAGAUUGUGGGGCUUCUAGGUAGGGAUGUGGUUAGUGAAUUCGAUUAGCAGCACUUGUGUUAGUUAGGCUAAUAUCACAGAUUUUUUAGUAGUAUGUUAAUUGUGUGAUACAUCCAGCUAUUUGAAUAUGAUUUGACAUAUAUUGUAGUCACCCCUGUAAAUCGUUUUCUUUAUUCUUCCAAAGAAUCAAAGCCAAAAUCUGUGUUAUGCGUUCAUCUUGUUCUUUAGAUUUUCUUGCUUGUAGCCAUAAGUCAUGCUUCAUUUUUCGAAUGUACCUAGGCCGCUCAUUUUUGGUAGUUCAUAUUGACGCCAACUAAAAUUAGUGUUUAAGUAGUUCCAUUCAUGUUUCUUGUCCUUGCUGGUUCAUGUGUUGUAAACUAUAGAUGGUAAUGCAAGGUCUUCAACCUAUUUUAUCGGCUAUGGUUGAUUGCUAUAAUGCGUUUUGGUACAAGUUUGCAAUAGUUUUAUUCCACAGAAGUAUUCAGAUGUUGAGUGAGUAUAGCUUGUGGCCUAUCUUAUGAUCAUACUCAUGUGUACUUUAGUUUAUGAGAAGCCGCAAUGAUUUUUAAUGUCAUAAUGUUCUAGGCUCUUGUUUUUUGAGAUACAAUUAGUUCAUUGCACCUAACAUAUUUUGUUUUUAAGAAAGAAAUCUUCAUUUGAUGGUUUAGAUCCAUGUAAAGAGAGGAGCAUGCUUGUGGCUACACUUAUGGGUAUCAUCACUUCAUAUUGUGAUAAUGCAGACUACUCAUUGUUUUAGCCUUUACUGCCUGUAGAUGUUGAUACAAGAGACUGUGGUUGGUGCCCCCCUCUCACCAGAAGCCAUCUCAGCAGACACCAUGGACAUACAGUAAGAUGCUUUUAUCCUUGCUUUCUAUACUCGAUCUGUAGAAUUGAGGAAGUGGUGUCCUUGUUGAGGAAAAUAUGAAAGAAAGUGCAGCAAAAUUCUCCAGGGCAGCCCUAAUCGAUUGACUAGAAGGCAGUUUGUCAAGAAAAUUACACCGAGGAAGAAGAAAUAUACUUGAUGUAUGAACUUUGGGUCAGCUAUGUAUUCAGUUAUGUAUGAACUUUGGGUCAGUUAUGUAUUUAUCAUGUUUUAAUUUGUGAUGUUGAUUAAUAUUCUCUACAUAUUUAUCAUUGUUUAUUUUUUUAAUCAAUGACAAAGCACAUAUACAAUCUUA
Molecule: long non-coding RNA, 4217 nt
Organism: Zea mays
Lineage: Eukaryota; Viridiplantae; Streptophyta; Magnoliopsida; Poales; Poaceae
Exons: 6
Source: RefSeq, a predicted model, not a curated record